RNAcentral lists this long non-coding RNA (1072 nucleotides) under Zonotrichia albicollis (white-throated sparrow). RNAcentral's name for it is "lncRNA (ENSZALG00000007025.1)". Lineage: Eukaryota; Metazoa; Chordata; Aves; Passeriformes; Passerellidae. The record is from RNAcentral.
AAGGAACACGUGGAUGCAAUGCACACACAGAGGGUUAAAUGGUUCAUGUUCUGUUUUUUCCAGCCUGCCCUGAGGCCCAAGGGUCCCCCACCUCCCGUUCCUGCCCCCAAACCUGGCUCUUCCCACCCCGAGGAGAAGUUUGCCCCAGAGAGAACAGCUCCUCCUGUGCCCCUUCCCAAAGGCAAACCCCCUCCUCCACCCCAGGCUUUAAAGCCCCCCAUGAACCCCAGAGUCUGAGGCUUCCCAAGCAGAGCUGGCUGGGCCACCUGAACUUUGCAGGGACAGUUCAUCCCUCGAUUCCUCCACUUCUGGCAAAGGUGUCCUGGACCAUCUCCCUCUCCUCCUCGAGAACUGACUGAGAGCUGCCUGGGGAGAUUCGGGAUUUCAGGCAGUGAGGAGCCCCGGUGGUGACAUGGAGCUGCUGUCCAAGGGAAGCAGAGCAGAGCCACCACUUGCACCGAGGUGUAAACUGGGAGUAAGUUACAACAGCUGCUGAACACCCCCAGCACUGUGGGAUGAGGCUGCUCCUCCUCUGCUCCUCUGGGGCCAGAGCUGAGGGAGCAGGGACAGUGUGGCUGCUCCAGGUUUGGGAAUUGCAAACUGGUUUUUUUGCUCCAUUUCUGGAUCUUUUCCAGCCCUCUCUGCUCUCAGCAAUACAAAGAUUUCUCCCUCAAGUGCAAGUCAUGGAGAAAAACAAACUCUCCCUGCCCUGAGGAGAGAAGUUGUGUCCCCAGGGUCUGAGCUGGACAUGGAAUAAGCAAUGAGACACACUGGGAAUGGUUCUGGCAAGAUCCUUUGCACUGGAUUCUCUCCACAGUCCUUAAAUUCCCUGCAAAACAUGGAUGUGAUGGAAUUUCAGUUCUUCCUUUGAGGUUGUGUUGGAUGAGGAUGGAUGUUACUGGAAGAGCAGAGCUUCCUUCCUCUUUGGAUAAUUGCUGCUUUAUUUGAGCCAGGAACAGAUUGGAAUCUCCACCUGGGUUUGACUGGGGUGUAAAAAUCCAGAAGUUAUUUUUUAUGAGCUGUAAUUAAUGUAUUUACAGAGAUUUCUGUAUUAAAGUUCUGUCUGAACAGG